UACGUAGGGGGCAAGCGUUAUCCGGAUUUACUGGGUGUAAAGGGAGCGUAGGCGGACUUUUGAGUGAGAUGUGAAAUACCCGGGCUCAACUUGGGUGCUGCAUUUCAAACUGGAAGUCUAGAGUGCAGGAGAGGAGAAUGGAAUUCCUAGUGUAGCGGUGAAAUGCGUAGAGAUUAGGAAGAACACCAGUGGCGAAGGCGAUUCUCUGGACUGUAACUGACGCUGAGGCUCGAAAGCGUGGGGAGCAAACAGGAUUAGAUACCCU
This 265-nucleotide ribosomal RNA is filed under the name uncultured prokaryote. RNAcentral's name for it is "partial 16S ribosomal RNA". It matches the Rfam family "Bacterial small subunit ribosomal RNA", at positions 524 to 788 of the family's 1533-position model. The record is from RNAcentral.